RNAcentral lists this ribosomal RNA (253 nucleotides) under uncultured bacterium. RNAcentral describes it as "partial 16S ribosomal RNA". It matches the Rfam family "Bacterial small subunit ribosomal RNA", at positions 524 to 776 of the family's 1533-position model. The record is from RNAcentral.
AACGUAGGAGACAAACGUUAUCCGGAGUUACUGGGCGUAAAGGGCGUGUAGGUGGUUUCGUAAGUCUGGCGUGAAAUUUUUCGGCUUAACCGGGAAAGGUCGUCGGAUACUGCGGAGCUAGAGGACGGUAGAGGCGUGUGGAAUUCCGGGUGUAGUGGUGAAAUGCGUAGAGAUCCGGAGGAACACCAGUGGCGAAGGCGACACGCUGGGCCGGAUCCGACGCUGAGGCGCGAAAGCGUGGGGAGCAAACAGG